Molecule: non-coding RNA, 178 nt
Filed under: Caloramator mitchellensis
Lineage: Bacteria; Bacillati; Bacillota; Clostridia; Eubacteriales; Clostridiaceae
Description: Lysine sequence
Rfam family: Lysine riboswitch aptamer
About the family: Riboswitches are metabolite binding domains within certain messenger RNAs that serve as precision sensors for their corresponding targets. Allosteric rearrangement of mRNA structure is mediated by ligand binding, and this results in modulation of gene expression.
Source: Rfam by way of RNAcentral
CGCAUAAAUAGAGGUGCAGAUAAUAAGGUAGCAUUAGGAUGUUAAGGAAAGGAACUUCCGAAGCCUAAUGUGAAGGGGUUGUCUGCCGAAAGGAUUUAUCGGUUCCUAGAUAUAUCCUUGGUGAUGGAGCACAACGCCCUAUCACUGUCAUGGUUUGCCAUGAAGCGCUAUUUAUGCA